Molecule: non-coding RNA, 279 nt
Organism: Pseudonaja textilis
Lineage: Eukaryota; Metazoa; Chordata; Lepidosauria; Squamata; Elapidae
Source: RefSeq, a predicted model, not a curated record
UGUGUGAAUAUAGAAAUGGGAGGGAAAUGAAAGAGGAAGCUUUGAAAAUUUGAAACAAGCCUUAACUAAGGCUCCUGUGUUAAGUUUGCCAAAUUUGUAAAAGCCAUUCCAUCUCUUUGUAAACACAGAGAAUGGAAUUGCACAAGGUAUGUUGGCUCAGGACUGGGAAGGAUAAUGGAAGCCUGUGGCAUUCCUGUCAAAAAUAAUGGAAAAUUGACCUUUGGGGGAGUCCUCAUUAUGAGCACCCCACAUCAAGUCAGAACCAUUCUUCAGCAAAAA